Molecule: ribosomal RNA, 405 nt
Filed under: uncultured bacterium
Lineage: Bacteria
Description: partial 16S ribosomal RNA
Rfam family: Bacterial small subunit ribosomal RNA
Source: RNAcentral
GACGACGCUGGCGGCGUGCCUAAUACAUGCAAGUAGGACGAGUUGCGAACGGGUGAGUAACGAGUGGUAACCUACCUAUUAGAGGGGGAUAAAUAUUGGAAACGAUAGCUAAUACCGCAUACUAGUAGAUUGAGCUGCGUUGUAUUAGCUAGUAGGUGGGGUAAAGGCCUACCUAGGCAACGAUACAUAGCCGACCGGAGAGGGUGAUCUGCCACACUGGGACUGAGACACGGCCCAGACUCCUACGGGAGGCAGCAGUGGGGAAUAUUGCACAAGGGGCGCAAGCCUGAUGCAGCCAUGCCGCGUGUAUGAAGAAGGCCUUAGGGUUGUAAAGUACUUUCAGCGGGGAGGCGUUACUCGCAGAAGAAGCACCGGCUAACUCCGUGCCAGCAGCCGCGGUAAUAC